This 497-nucleotide ribosomal RNA is filed under the name uncultured bacterium. RNAcentral describes it as "partial 16S ribosomal RNA". It matches the Rfam family "Bacterial small subunit ribosomal RNA", at positions 28 to 507 of the family's 1533-position model. The record is from RNAcentral.
GAUGAACGCUGGCGGCGUGCCUAAUACAUGCAAGUCGAGCGAACGGACGAGAAGCUUGCUUCUCUGAUGUUAGCGGCGGACGGGUGAGUAACACGUGGAUAACCUACCUAUAAGAAUGGGAUAACUUUGGGAAACCGGCGCUAAUACCGGAUGAUAUUUUGAACCGCAUGGUUCAAAAGUGAAAUACGGUCUUGCUGUCACUUAUAGAUGGAUCCGCGCUGCAUUAGCUAGUUGGUAAGGUAACGGCUUACCAAGGCAACGAUGGAUAGCCGACCCGAGAGGGUGAACGGCCACACUGGAACUGAGACACGGUCCAGACUCCGGCGGGAGGCAGCAGUAGGGAAUCUUCCGCGAUGGGCGAAAGCCUGACGGAGCAACGCCGCGUAAGUGAUGACGGUCUUCGGAUCGUAAAACUCUGUUAUUAGGGAGGAACAUAUGUGUAAGUAACUGUGCACAUCUUGACGGUACCUAAUCAGAAAGCCACGGCUAACUACGUG